This 803-nucleotide long non-coding RNA is filed under the name Olea europaea subsp. europaea. The record is from RNAcentral. Lineage: Eukaryota; Viridiplantae; Streptophyta; Magnoliopsida; Lamiales; Oleaceae.
UGCCAAUCAGCAUUGAAUCCAAAAUAUUUCAUCAAAACACGAAUAAACGAGUUUCACCAAGUAUGAUUACAUUUAAAGUUAAAAUAAGCAGAGCAAACAUGCUAUAUAUCCAUUGUUAUGCAAAUAAAAAACAUGACUCUUCAAUCUCGUGAAUUAGACAUGCACUGAUUCUCAUCAAAGUUAUUCUCUUCAUCCUCAAUAGUAUCAUCUUUCUCAUUACCAUUAUUCUCUAUUGACAAUGGUAUAAAUGGUGGUACAAUGAAGUCAGGAACUUUAUCACAUAGUCAGUGCAUAGAAUGAUUCCAAGAUUAUAAUAUAGAAUUGAAUUGUUGCUCAACAACCUUUAGCUUAUUUUGCAUAUUUUGCUCCAUGUUUACUUGAGCUACAUCAACUACCUUUCGAGCAACAUGUUCUGCUUCCAACUCUUCCCCAAAUUGUGUACAUUGGAAGAAGAUAUCCUAAUAUCUCAAAGGCGACCAUCUUCUAACCCAAGAAUUUAGCGCCUGGGCUUCAUACCUAGAACGAACAUCAUGAUAUCAAUUUCGGCAUCAGGAUCAUCUAUCGGUAUCUCCUCCAAAGGGAUAUCUUUAGGAAGUUGCUAAUCCUUUGCCUCUCUAUAAGAUAUUCAUGCUUUUUGACAAGCAUUUCAUCCUACAAAUAUAACCAACAAGAUAUAUAAAACAGUCCAUAAAAUCAAAGUUUGCAAGAGAUAACACAACUGUACACAAGAGACAUAGCACAAGCUAAGAAAUAUAAUCAUCUCUCAAAAACAUUUUGACCAUGAUAGUGUCAGUUUCCGAAAU